Molecule: transfer RNA, 72 nt
Filed under: Ophioleila elegans
Lineage: Eukaryota; Metazoa; Echinodermata; Ophiuroidea; Amphilepidida; Hemieuryalidae
Description: tRNA-His
Source: RNAcentral
AUUAGCUUAGUUUUAAUAAAAAACACUAGCCUGUGGCACUAGAAAAAAGAAAAAAAUAGCUUCUUAGCUAAU